This 285-nucleotide unclassified non-coding RNA is filed under the name Hevea brasiliensis (rubber tree). Lineage: Eukaryota; Viridiplantae; Streptophyta; Magnoliopsida; Malpighiales; Euphorbiaceae. The record is from RNAcentral.
GGAGGAGCCAAGAGGCACAGGAAGUUUUUGAGGGAUAACAUCUAGGGGAUCACGAAACCAGCGAUUCGUCGGCUUGUUUGUAGAGGAGGCGUGAAGCGUAUCAGUGGCCUCAUUUACGAAGAGACCAGAGGCGUUCUCAAGAUCUUCCUUGACAAUGUGAUUCGCGAUGCUGUAACUUACACUAAACAUGCACAAAGAAAGACCGUAACCGCCAUGCACGUUGUCUAUGCUCUCAAGAGGCAGGGUCGGACACUUUAUGGUUUUGGUGGUUGAUUUUGUAUUUUU